GAUGAAGAACGUAGCGAAAUGCGAUAAGUAAUGUGAAUUGCAGAAUUCAGUGAAUCAUCGAAUCUUUGAACGCACCUUGCGCCCUUUGGCCAUUCCGAAGGGCAUGCCUGUUUGAGUAUCAUGAACACCUCAACUCUUCAUGGUUUUCCGUGAUGAGCUUGGACUUUGGGGGUCUUGCUGGCCUAUGGUCAGCUCCUCUAAAAUAAAUCAGCUUGCCAGUGUUUGGUGGGUAUCACAGGUGUGAUAACUAUCUACGCUUGUGGUUUUCCACCAGGUAACCUUCAGCAGUGGAGGUUCGCUGGAGCUCACAGAUGUGUCUCUCCUCAGUGAGGACAGCUCUUUGAACGUUUGAUCUCAAAUCUGGUAGGACUACCCGCUGAACUUAAGCAUAUCAAUAAGCGGAGGA
Molecule: unclassified non-coding RNA, 406 nt
Filed under: soil metagenome
Description: partial contains 5.8S ribosomal RNA, internal transcribed spacer 2, and large subunit ribosomal RNA
Rfam family: 5.8S ribosomal RNA (bases 1-121)
Source: RNAcentral